RNAcentral lists this Y RNA (97 nucleotides) under Saimiri boliviensis boliviensis (Bolivian squirrel monkey). RNAcentral describes it as "Y RNA (ENSSBOG00000016589.1)". It matches the Rfam family "Y RNA". Rfam says of the family: Y RNAs are components of the Ro ribonucleoprotein particle (Ro RNP), in association with Ro60 and La proteins. The Y RNAs and Ro60 and La proteins are well conserved, but the function of the Ro RNP is not known. Lineage: Eukaryota; Metazoa; Chordata; Mammalia; Primates; Cebidae. The record is from Rfam by way of RNAcentral.
GGCUGGUCCGAGUGCAGUGGUGUUUACAACUGAUCACAACCCGUUACAGAUUUCUUUGUUCCUCUCCACACCCAUUGCUUCACUUGACUAGCCUUUA